AUUGAACGCUGGCGGCAUGCCUUACACAUGCAAGUCGAACGGUAACAGGUCUUCGGAUGCUGACGAGUGGCGAACGGGUGAGUAAUACAUCGGAACGUGCCCGAUCGUGGGGGAUAACGAGGCGAAAGCUUUGCUAAUACCGCAUACGAUCUACGGAUGAAAGCGGGGGAUCUUCGGACCUCGCGCGGACGGAGCGGCCGAUGGCAGAUUAGGUAGUUGGCGGGAUAAAAGCUUACCAAGCCGACGAUCUGUAGCUGGUCUGAGAGGAUGAUCAGCCACACUGGGACUGAGACACGGCCCAGACUCCUACGGGAGGCAGCGGUGGGGAAUUUUGGACAAUGGGCGAAAGCCUGAUCCAGCCAUGCCGCGUGCAGGAUGAAGGCCUUCGGGUUGUAAACUGCUUUUGUACGGAACGAAAAGCCUCUUUCUAAUAAAGAGGGGUCAUGACGGUACCGUAAGAAUAAGCACCGGCUAACUACGUG
RNAcentral lists this ribosomal RNA (482 nucleotides) under uncultured bacterium. Its description in RNAcentral is "partial 16S ribosomal RNA". It matches the Rfam family "Bacterial small subunit ribosomal RNA", at positions 30 to 507 of the family's 1533-position model. The record is from RNAcentral.